GUCUCCGUGGCGCAAUUGGUUAGCGCGUCUGACUGUUACCGGGGUCCUCCAGUGUGACAUUAUCAGGAGGUUGGCAGUUCAAGCCUGCCCGGGGACG
Melampsora americana is the source of this 97-nucleotide non-coding RNA. Lineage: Eukaryota; Fungi; Basidiomycota; Pucciniomycetes; Pucciniales; Melampsoraceae. The record is from the annotation of a GenBank genome assembly.